RNAcentral lists this ribosomal RNA (884 nucleotides) under Microbacterium marinum. Its description in RNAcentral is "bacterial SSU rRNA". It matches the Rfam family "Bacterial small subunit ribosomal RNA", at positions 552 to 1433 of the family's 1533-position model. The record is from RNAcentral. Lineage: Bacteria; Bacillati; Actinomycetota; Actinomycetes; Micrococcales; Microbacteriaceae.
UAUUGGGCGUAAAGAGCUCGUAGGCGGUUUGUCGCGUCUGCUGUGAAAUCCCGAGGCUCAACCUCGGGUCUGCAGUGGGUACGGGCAGACUAGAGUGCGGUAGGGGAGAUUGGAAUUCCUGGUGUAGCGGUGGAAUGCGCAGAUAUCAGGAGGAACACCGAUGGCGAAGGCAGAUCUCUGGGCCGUUACUGACGCUGAGGAGCGAAAGGGUGGGGAGCAAACAGGCUUAGAUACCCUGGUAGUCCACCCCGUAAACGUUGGGAACUAGUUGUGGGGUCCAUUCCACGGAUUCCGUGACGCAGCUAACGCAUUAAGUUCCCCGCCUGGGGAGUACGGCCGCAAGGCUAAAACUCAAAGGAAUUGACGGGGACCCGCACAAGCGGCGGAGCAUGCGGAUUAAUUCGAUGCAACGCGAAGAACCUUACCAAGGCUUGACAUACACCAGAACGCCCUAGAAAUAGGGAACUCUUUGGACACUGGUGAACAGGUGGUGCAUGGUUGUCGUCAGCUCGUGUCGUGAGAUGUUGGGUUAAGUCCCGCAACGAGCGCAACCCUCGUUCUAUGUUGCCAGCACGUAAUGGUGGGAACUCAUGGGAUACUGCCGGGGUCAACUCGGAGGAAGGUGGGGAUGACGUCAAAUCAUCAUGCCCCUUAUGUCUUGGGCUUCACGCAUGCUACAAUGGCCGGUACAAAGGGCUGCAAUACCGUGAGGUGGAGCGAAUCCCAAAAAGCCGGUCCCAGUUCGGAUUGAGGUCUGCAACUCGACCUCAUGAAGUCGGAGUCGCUAGUAAUCGCAGAUCAGCAACGCUGCGGUGAAUACGUUCCCGGGUCUUGUACACACCGCCCGUCAAGUCAUGAAAGUCGGUAACACCUGAAGCCGGUGG